This 465-nucleotide ribosomal RNA is filed under the name Vreelandella stevensii. RNAcentral describes it as "partial 16S ribosomal RNA". It matches the Rfam family "Bacterial small subunit ribosomal RNA", at positions 338 to 795 of the family's 1533-position model. Lineage: Bacteria; Pseudomonadati; Pseudomonadota; Gammaproteobacteria; Oceanospirillales; Halomonadaceae. The record is from RNAcentral.
CCUACGGGUGGCAGCAGUGGGGAAUAUUGGACAAUGGGCGAAAGCCUGAUCCAGCCAUGCCGCGUGUGUGAAGAAGGCCUUCGGGUUGUAAAGCACUUUCAGUGGGGAAGAAAGCCUUGGGGCUAAUACCCUCGAGGAAGGACAUCACCCACAGAAGAAGCACCGGCUAACUCCGUGCCAGCAGCCGCGGUAAUACGGAGGGUGCGAGCGUUAAUCGGAAUUACUGGGCGUAAAGCGCGCGUAGGCGGUCUGAUAAGCCGGUUGUGAAAGCCCCGGGCUCAACCUGGGAACGGCAUCCGGAACUGUCAGGCUAGAGUGCAGGAGAGGAAGGUAGAAUUCCCGGUGUAGCGGUGAAAUGCGUAGAGAUCGGGAGGAAUACCAGUGGCGAAGGCGGCCUUCUGGACUGACAUUGACGCUGAGGUGCGAAAGCGUGGGUAGCAAACAGGAUUAGAUACCCGUGUAGUC